GACGAAGGGGGCUAGCGUUGUUCGGAAUUACUGGGCGUAAAGCGAGUGUAGGUGGUUGUCCAAGUUGGAUGUGAAAGCCUUGAGCUCAACUCAAGAAAUGCAUUCAGGACUGGGCGGCUAGAGGACCGGAGAGGAUAGUGGAAUUCCCAGUGUAGUGGUGGAAUACGUAGAGAUUGGGAAGAACACCAGUGGCGAAGGCGGCUAUCUGGACGGUUUCUGACACUAAGACUCGAAAGCGUGGGGAGCAAACAGG
RNAcentral lists this ribosomal RNA (253 nucleotides) under uncultured bacterium. RNAcentral describes it as "partial 16S ribosomal RNA". It matches the Rfam family "Bacterial small subunit ribosomal RNA", at positions 524 to 776 of the family's 1533-position model. The record is from RNAcentral.